AUACGGAGGAUGCGAGCGUUAUCCGGACUUAUUGGGUUUAAAGGGAGCGGAGGCGGGAUAUUAAGUCAGCUGUGAAAGUUUGGGGCUCAACCUUAAAAUUGCAGUUGAUACUGGUUUCCUUGAGUACGGUACAGGUGAGCGGAAUUCGUGGUGGAGCGGUGAAAUGCUUAGAUAUCACGAAGAACUCCGAUCGCGAAGGCAGCUCACCGGGCCGUAACUGACACUGAUGCUCGAAAGUGCGGGUAUCAAACAGGAUUAGAUACCCUGGUAGUCCGCACAGUAAACGAUGAAUACUCGCUGUUUGCGAUACACUGUAAGCGGCCAAGCGAAAGCGUUAAGUAUUCCACCUGGGGAGUACGGCGGCAACGGUGAAACUCAAAUGAAUUGACGGGG
Molecule: ribosomal RNA, 393 nt
Filed under: uncultured bacterium
Lineage: Bacteria
Description: partial 16S ribosomal RNA
Rfam family: Bacterial small subunit ribosomal RNA
Source: RNAcentral